Molecule: ribosomal RNA, 329 nt
Filed under: uncultured bacterium
Lineage: Bacteria
Description: bacterial SSU rRNA
Rfam family: Bacterial small subunit ribosomal RNA
Source: RNAcentral
AACGAACGCUGGCGGCAGGCCUAACACAUGCAAGUCGAACGCCGUAGCAAUACGGAGUGGCAGACGGGUGAGUAACGCGUGGGAACCUACCUUACGGUCGGGAAUAGCCCAGGGAAACUUGGGGUAAUACCGGAUACGCCCUUACGGGAAAGAUUUAUCGCCCAAGGAUGAGCCCGCGUAGGAUUAGCUAGUUGGUGAGGUAAAGGCUCACCAAGGCGACGAUCCUUAGCUGGUCUGAGAGGAUGAUCAGCCACACUGGGACUGAGACACGGCCCAGACUCUACGGGAGGCAGCAGUGGGGAAUAUUGGACAAUGGCGGAAAGACCUCG